Molecule: long non-coding RNA, 643 nt
Organism: Dreissena polymorpha
Lineage: Eukaryota; Metazoa; Mollusca; Bivalvia; Myida; Dreissenidae
Exons: 3
Source: RefSeq, a predicted model, not a curated record
CAUAGAAAUUACAUUAUUUCUAAAGAAAGAGAUUUAGCUUGUUGAGCAAAUAAUUGAUUUUCAUUGAAUAUUUUUGAUAAACCAAUAAAAUAUACUUCAUAUUUAAAUCAAUAUUUUUAUUGGAAAAUCACUUUUCACAAAUACGAAUAUGCGGUCGAAAACUGAAAGCCAUCAGAAUUCAAGAUGGUUCGGACAAAAACAAGUGCUAGCGCUAAGACUAAAAAAACAAGAGAUGCAAGGUACAGGCGUAAUAAAAGGGAGAGGAUAAUAGGCAUUGGUAUUCAGUGUGAUCGACGGAGAAGAGUAAAAGAAGCUACUGGGAUUGAUAAGGACGAGAAAAUGAUGGAAAUAUUGCCUGCCUAUAAUACUCGAAAGAGCGGUUGGCAGUAUACAGAGAUAGAUAGAUAGAUAGAUAUUGAUCGAUGCAACUACUUCUGAACUAGAGAGCUUCAACAAUCAUCUUUUGAUGUACACUCCAAACCAAAGCGAAAUGCUUUCAGCUAUGCUGUUUAUAGAUGCAGGUGUCAGUUAGCAGCAAUAGAUUAUUCAAAACACUUGAAUCGUCCUGUUUUGUUGGACAAAGAAGGAAAUGAGAGAUAUUUAUAUUAUUGUUUUCGCCCUGUAUGUUGGUUUGUUUGUUUGU